Molecule: ribosomal RNA, 1284 nt
Filed under: Mammaliicoccus fleurettii
Lineage: Bacteria; Bacillati; Bacillota; Bacilli; Caryophanales; Staphylococcaceae
Description: bacterial SSU rRNA
Rfam family: Bacterial small subunit ribosomal RNA
Source: RNAcentral
UGCAAGUCGAGCGAACAGAUGAGAAGCUUGCUUCUCUGAUGUUAGCGGCGGACGGGUGAGUAACACGUGGGUAACCUACCUAUAAGACUGGGAUAACUCCGGGAAACCGGGGCUAAUACCUGAUAAUAUUUUGAACCGCAUGGUUCGAUAGUGAAAGGCGGCUUCGGCUGUCACUUAUAGAUGGACCCGCGCCGUAUUAGCUAGUUGGUAAGGUAAUGGCUUACCAAGGCGACGAUACGUAGCCGACCUGAGAGGGUGAUCGGCCACACUGGAACUGAGACACGGUCCAGACUCCUACGGGAGGCAGCAGUAGGGAAUCUUCCGCAAUGGGCGAAAGCCUGACGGAGCAACGCCGCGUGAGUGAUGAAGGUUUUCGGAUCGUAAAACUCUGUUGUUAGGGAAGAACAAAUUUGUUAGUAACUGAACAAGUCUUGACGGUACCUAACCAGAAAGCCACGGCUAACUACGUGCCAGCAGCCGCGGUAAUACGUAGGUGGCAAGCGUUAUCCGGAAUUAUUGGGCGUAAAGCGCGCGUAGGCGGUUUCUUAAGUCUGAUGUGAAAGCCCACGGCUCAACCGUGGAGGGUCAUUGGAAACUGGGGAACUUGAGUGCAGAAGAGGAGAGUGGAAUUCCAUGUGUAGCGGUGAAAUGCGCAGAGAUAUGGAGGAACACCAGUGGCGAAGGCGGCUCUCUGGUCUGUAACUGACGCUGAUGUGCGAAAGCGUGGGGAUCAAACAGGAUUAGAUACCCUGGUAGUCCACGCCGUAAACGAUGAGUGCUAAGUGUUAGGGGGUUUCCGCCCCUUAGUGCUGCAGCUAACGCAUUAAGCACUCCGCCUGGGGAGUACGACCGCAAGGUUGAAACUCAAAGGAAUUGACGGGGACCCGCACAAGCGGUGGAGCAUGUGGUUUAAUUCGAAGCAACGCGAAGAACCUUACCAAAUCUUGACAUCCUUUGAUCGCUCUAGAGAUAGAGUCUUCCCCUUCGGGGGACAAAGUGACAGGUGGUGCAUGGUUGUCGUCAGCUCGUGUCGUGAGAUGUUGGGUUAAGUCCCGCAACGAGCGCAACCCUUAAGCUUAGUUGCCAUCAUUAAGUUGGGCACUCUAGGUUGACUGCCGGUGACAAACCGGAGGAAGGUGGGGAUGACGUCAAAUCAUCAUGCCCCUUAUGAUUUGGGCUACACACGUGCUACAAUGGAUAAUACAAAGGGCAGCGAACCCGCGAGGUCAAGCAAAUCCCAUAAAAUUAUUCUCAGUUCGGAUUGUAGUCUGCAACUCGACUACA